This 428-nucleotide ribosomal RNA is filed under the name uncultured bacterium. RNAcentral's name for it is "bacterial SSU rRNA". It matches the Rfam family "Bacterial small subunit ribosomal RNA", at positions 355 to 776 of the family's 1533-position model. The record is from RNAcentral.
UGGGGAAUUUUGCGCAAUGGGCGAAAGCCUGACGCAGCAACGCCGCGUGGGUGAUGAAGGUCUUCGGAUCGUAAAACCCUGUCGUCAGGGACGAAGGGCUACGGAGUAACUGCCGUAGUCUUGACGGUACCUGGAGAGGAAGCCCCGGCUAACUCUGUGCCAGCAGCCGCGGUAAUACAGAGGGGGCAAGCGUUAUUCGGAAUUAUUGGGCGUAAAGGGCGCGUAGGCGGUGAUUUAAGUGAGAUGUGUAAUCCCCGAGCUUAACUUGGGAACUGCAUCUCAGACUGGGUCGCUAGAGUGCUGGAGAGGGUGGUAGAAUUCCACGUGUAGCGGUGAAAUGCGUAGAGAUGUGGAGGAAUACCAGUGGCGAAGGCGGCCACCUGGACAGUAACUGACGCUGAGGCGCGAAAGUGUGGGGAGCAAACAGG